RNAcentral lists this long non-coding RNA (255 nucleotides) under Actinidia chinensis (golden kiwifruit). Its description in RNAcentral is "long non-coding RNA (ACHI_LNC003630)". Lineage: Eukaryota; Viridiplantae; Streptophyta; Magnoliopsida; Ericales; Actinidiaceae. The record is from RNAcentral.
UCUGAUUUGUUACUCACGGUUCUGUUUACAGUUGGUCCUGUGCAGGGUCGAAACUCAAAGGCUUCAACAGGAAUGUCUCUCUGAAAGACUCAGAGAAGGUAGUGGUUUCGGGGAGGAGGAGAGGGAGUCAAGGGGAGAGAGAGAGAAUAGAUUGCCCCAUGUCUAUAGUACAAUAGAACCAAAAAAAGUUGUGUAAGAAGAAUGAGGAAAGAUAGAGAGCUGCUUCUAUGGUAGAAGAGGAUGGAACUUGAAAGU